Molecule: ribosomal RNA, 253 nt
Filed under: uncultured bacterium
Lineage: Bacteria
Description: partial 16S ribosomal RNA
Rfam family: Bacterial small subunit ribosomal RNA
Source: RNAcentral
GACGUAGGGCGCGAGCGUUGUCCGGAUUUAUUGGGCGUAAAGAGCUCGUAGGCGGCUUGUCGCGUCGACCGUGAAAACUUGGGGCUCAACCCCAAGCCUGCGGUCGAUACGGGCAGGCUCGAGUUCGGUAGGGGAGACUGGAAUUCCUGGUGUAGCGGUGAAAUGCGCAGAUAUCAGGGGGAACACCGAUGGCGAAGGCAGGUCUCUGGGCCAUAACUGACGCUGAGAAGCGAAAGCAUGGGGAGCGAACAGG